GGUAGAUAUCUCUGGCCCUGGAGCAGAGACUCACCGCGUCUGUUCUGCUCACUCUUUCUGCAAUUCCCACAGCCAGAGCAGGACUAAGUGAAUGCCACUGGAGAACAUGACCGGCUGACUGAUGGACUGACCGGCUGACGGUUUUGAUGAAGAAAAACAAAGAAAUCCCUUAUGAAAGUAAAGAAUGGCCUCCCAUGUGUUUUAAGGCUGAAUUCAUGACAGAUAUUUCUCUGAACUGAGUUAAUUUGACCAAACUAAUCCACGGCUCCUCUAAACACUCCAAACCUGUGUUGGAGAGCCUCCGAGUCAUUGACACUGAAGCACACCACUGAACAGUAUUGACACCAUUGUGAAAUCACCCUGUGCCAAGCUGAGCUGAAGGAUCUCCACACCUGUUGGCUCUUUGGUCUGCAGUCAACUCAGGAAGUGAGGAGCUGUAAAGCCCCUUUUCCACCAGUGACCAAGUGUCAGCAGCAAACCAUCAGUUAGUGGGGGAAGGGUGCCCUGGGUGGUCUCAGUUCCCUCUGUGUUCUCACCCAUCACACAGGACAAUAGCUAGAUAGUGAUUGUAGCUAUCAAGUAAAACAUGAGAGCCAAGUGGUCUAUUACAUUUUUAGCUAUAUGUAAUUGAACAGAGUCCCUUUAAUUUUUAUUUUUUUUUUAUUUUUUGGUACUGGGGAUUGAACCCAGGGACAUUUUACCACUAGGCUGCAUCCCCAGCCCAUUUUAGUUCUUAUUUUGAGACAAGGACUCACUAAGUUGCUAGGCUGGUCUUGAACUUGCCUUCCUCCUGCCUCAGCCUCCCGAGUUUUGGGGAUUACAGGCAUGCACCACUGCACCCAGCUAAAAGUAAAAGCAAUUUCUGACAA
Long non-coding RNA from Marmota monax (woodchuck), 869 nucleotides. RefSeq lists it as uncharacterized. The transcript is spliced from 2 exons. The record is from RefSeq and is a predicted model, not a curated record. NCBI's taxonomy places the organism in Eukaryota, Metazoa, Chordata, Mammalia, Rodentia, Sciuridae.